CCCCCUGAAUUUAAGCAUAUUAAUUAGGGGAGGAAAAGAAACCAAAUGGGAUUCCCUGAGUAGUGGCGAACGAAAUGGGAAAAGCUCAGCACGUAGGGUUGUAGGCUUAAAUGCUUAUUGACCGAUUCCGUGUAAAGGAGGGUCCAUUAUCUUGUGCAUAUAAGCAUCAUAUUCAAGUCCAGCUUGAAUGCGGCUCAAUAUACCCAUAGAGGGUGCCAGGCCCGUUUAUGUAUGAUGUUUGUAUAAGAGGGCUACAAACUCCUAGGAGUCAUGUUGCUUGAUAGUGCAGCAUAAAGUGGGAGGUAAAUGUUGUGAUAGAAGAAAGAGAAGGCGAAU
This 336-nucleotide non-coding RNA is filed under the name Clunio marinus. Its description in RNAcentral is "Eukaryotic large subunit ribosomal RNA". It matches the Rfam family "Eukaryotic large subunit ribosomal RNA", at positions 24 to 335 of the family's 3401-position model. Lineage: Eukaryota; Metazoa; Arthropoda; Insecta; Diptera; Chironomidae. The record is from Rfam by way of RNAcentral.